CGCCGCGUGAGCGAUGAAGGCCUUCGGGUCGUAAAGCUCUGUUGUUAGGGAAGAACAAGUACCGUUCAAAUAGGGCGGUACCUUGACGGUACCUAACCAGAAAGCCACGGCUAACUANGUGCCAGCAGCCGCGGUAAUACGUAGGUGGCAAGCGUUGUCCGGAAUUAUUGGGCGUAAAGCGCGCGCAGGCGGUCUCUUAAGUCUGAUGUGAAAGCCCACGGCUCAACCGUGGAGGGUCAUUGGAAACUGGGGGACUUGAGUACUGGAGAGGAGAGUGGAAUUCCAUGUGUAGCGGUGAAAUGCGUAGAUAUAUGGAGGAACACCAGUGGCGAAGGCGGCUCUCUGGCCAGUAACUGACGCUGAGGCGCGAAAGCGUGGGGAGCAAACAGGAUUAGAUACCCUGGUAGUCCACGCCGUAAACGAUGAGUGCUAGGUGUUGGGGGGUUCCACCCUCAGUGCUGACGUUAACACAUUAAGCACUCCGCCUGGGGAGUACGGCCGCAAGGCUGAAACUCAAAGGAAUUGACGGGGGCCCGCACAAGCAGUGGAGCAUGUGGUUUAAUUCGAAGCAACGCGAAGAACCUUACCAGGUCUUGACAUCCUUCGCUACUUCUAGAGAUAGAAGGUUCCCCUUCGGGGGACGAAGUGACAGGUGGUGCAUGGUUGUCGUCAGCUCGUGUCGUGAGAUGUUGGGUUAAGUCCCGCAACGAGCGCAACCCUUGAUCUUAGUGCCAGCAUUCAGUUGGGCACUCUAAGGUGACUGCCGGUGACAAACCGGA
This 779-nucleotide ribosomal RNA is filed under the name uncultured Bacillus sp. RNAcentral describes it as "bacterial SSU rRNA". It matches the Rfam family "Bacterial small subunit ribosomal RNA", at positions 395 to 1167 of the family's 1533-position model. Lineage: Bacteria; Bacillati; Bacillota; Bacilli; Caryophanales; Bacillaceae. The record is from RNAcentral.